This 319-nucleotide ribosomal RNA is filed under the name uncultured eukaryote. RNAcentral's name for it is "partial 18S ribosomal RNA". It matches the Rfam family "Eukaryotic small subunit ribosomal RNA", at positions 1470 to 1796 of the family's 1831-position model. The record is from RNAcentral.
CCCUUAGAUGUCCUGGGCCGCACGCGCGCUACAAUGGUCUUCGCAAACGGAUGCAUUCUCGAAGGAGAAUGCCAAUCUUGGAAUCUAUGCCUUGGUCGGGACAGUUGCUUGCAAUUUUUCGACUCGAACCAGGAAUUCCUUGUAAUCGUGAUUCAUCACAUCACGAUGAAUACGUCCCUGCCCUUUGUACACACCGCCCGUCGCUCCUACCGAUCGAAGAGUUAGGUGAAUUGUUUUGAUCGAUAAGAUUUGACUAUGGUCAACUCUCGUUGUGAAAUUCUGUGAAUCUGACUGUUUAGAGGAAGGAAAAGUCGUAACA